RNAcentral lists this ribosomal RNA (406 nucleotides) under uncultured bacterium. RNAcentral's name for it is "partial 16S ribosomal RNA". It matches the Rfam family "Bacterial small subunit ribosomal RNA", at positions 29 to 526 of the family's 1533-position model. The record is from RNAcentral.
AUUGAACGCUGGCGGCAGGCCUAACACAUGCAAGUCGAACGAGUGGCGGACGGGUGAGUAAUGUCUGGGAAACUGCCUGAUGGAGGGGGAUAAAUACUGGAAACGGUAGCUAAUACCGCAUACCAUCGGAUGUGCCCAGAGGGGAUUAGCUAGUAGGUGGGGUAAAGGCUCACAUAGGCGACGAUCCCUAGCUGGUCUGAGAGGAUGACCGCCCAAACGGGAACGGAGACACGGUCCAGACUCCUAGGGGGGGCAGCAGGGGGGAAUAUUGCACAAGGGGCGCAAGCCUGAUGCAGCCAUGCGGCGUGGAUGAAGAAGGCCUUGGGGUUGUAAAGUACUUUCAGCGGGGAGGCGUUACCCGCAGAAGAAGCACCGGCUAACUCCGUGCCAGCAGCCGCGGUAAUAC